GAUUGAACGCUGGCGGCAGGCCUAACACAUGCAAGUCGAGCGGUAGCACAAGAGAGCUUGCUCUCUGGGUGACGAGCGGCGGACGGGUGAGUAAUGUCUGGGAAACUGCCUGAUGGAGGGGGAUAACUACUGGAAACGGUAGCUAAUACCGCAUGACGUCUUCGGACCAAAGUGGGGGACCUUCGGGCCUCACGCCAUCAGAUGUGCCCAGAUGGGAUUAGCUAGUAGGUGGGGUAAUGGCUCACCUAGGCGACGAUCUCUAGCUGGUCUGAGAGGAUGACCAGCCACACUGGAACUGAGACACGGUCCAGACUCCUACGGGAGGCAGCAGUGGGGAAUAUUGCACAAUGGGCGCAAGCCUGAUGCAGCCAUGCCGCGUGUAUGAAGAAGGCCUUCGGGUUGUAAAGUACUUUCAGCGAGGAGGAAGGCAUUAAGGUUAAUAACCUUAGUGAUUGACGUUACUCGCAGAAGAAGCACCGGCUAACUCCGUGCCAGCAGCCGCGGCAAUACGGAGGGUGCAAGCGUUUAAUCGGAAUUACUGGGCGUAAAGCGCACGCAGGCGGUUGAUUUAAGUCAGAUGUGAAAUCCCCGAGCUUAACUUGGGAACUGCAUUUGAAACUGGUCAGCUAGAGUCUUGUAGAGGGGGGUAGAAUUCCAGGUGUAGCGGUGAAAUGCGUAGAGAUCUGGAGGAAUACCGGUGGCGAAGGCGGCCCCCUGGACAAAGACUGACGCUCAGGUGCGAAAGCGUGGGGAGCAAACAGGAUUAGAUACCCUGGUAGUCCACGCUGUAAACGAUGUCGACUUGGAGGUUGUGCCCUUGAGGCGUGGCUUCCGGAGCUAACGCGUUAAGUCGACCGCCUGGGGAGUACGGCCGCAAGGUUAAAACUCAAAUGAAUUGACGGGGGCCCGCACAAGCGGUGGAGCAUGUGGUUUAAUUCGAUGCAACGCGAAGAACCUUACCUACUCUUGACAUCCAGAGAAUUUGCUAGAGAUAGCUUAGUGCCUUCGGGAACUCUGAGACAGGUGCUGCAUGGCUGUCGUCAGCUCGUGUUGUGAAAUGUUGGGUUAAGUCCCGCAACGAGCGCAACCCUUAUCCUUUGUUGCCAGCACGUAAUGGUGGGAACUCAAAGGAGACUGCCGGUGAUAAACCGGAGGAAGGUGGGGAUGACGUCAAGUCAUCAUGGCCCUUACGAGUAGGGCUACACACGUGCUACAAUGGCAUAUACAAAGAGAAGCGAACUCGCGAGAGCAAGCGGACCUCAUAAAGUAUGUCGUAGUCCGGAUUGGAGUCUGCAACUCGACUCCAUGAAGUCGGAAUCGCUAGUAAUCGUAGAUCAGAAUGCUACGGUGAAUACGUUCCCGGGCCUUGUACACACCGCCCGUCACACCAUGGGAGUGGGUUGCAAAAGAAGUAGGUAGCUUAACCUUCGGGAGGGCGCUUACCACUUUGUGAUUCAUGACUGGG
Molecule: ribosomal RNA, 1465 nt
Filed under: uncultured organism
Description: SSU rRNA
Rfam family: Bacterial small subunit ribosomal RNA
Source: RNAcentral